GAUGGAAGAUCUACCUUUCCUUGCCUCCUCUUUAUAGCUCAAACCUAUGGUUCUGUCAAUCUUAACAUAGUAUUCAAAGUAAAAUUUUGGUUGUGACAUUCCUACUUCCAUAUCUUUAUUGUCAAAUGUUAAUUGAAUAGCAUCCGCCAAAGAAUUGCUGAGGCAGUGUGGUGUUACCAGGCAUCAGAAAAAGCAAUUGCAAUCUUGGAGAUGGAAUCAGCUAAAAGUCAGAAAGAGAUUGACAGUUUGAAUUCACAACAUAGUUAUAUUGAGAAACAACUUGAUUCGCUGGAGGAUGCAUCACAACCAAGGAAGGAUGAGCUUGAUAGGUUGGAGGAGCUCAACAAAAUAAUAUACUUACAUAUACUUACAGCUACAAUGGAGUGUUGCUACUAUGAAACAUUCAAACAUCCAAGUUACUAGCUUCAAUGGAGUGUUGCUACUAAUUCAUGCUACCAACUGUUAGGAUAUUGAUAAAAAUAGCACGGAUAUCAACCGCCAUAGAGUCCAAAUAGAGACUGGCCAAAAAAUGAUGAAGAAGUUGACUAAAGGGAUUGAGGAGUCAAAGAAGGAGAAAGAAAGACCUGUUGAGGAAAAGGAAAAAUUACGAGACAUUUUCAAAGAAAUUGAGUUGAAAGCUUUUACCAUUGAAGAGAAUUAUAAAAAGAAACACUGAUCGAUGAACAUAAAGAUGCAUUAGACAAUGCAAAACCCAAUAACGACAAAGUGAAAAAGACUGUGAUUGGUGUUACAGGCAUUAGAGGUUGAUGCUGGAUACAAAUUACAAGACAUGAAAAAGGCAUACAAGGAGUUGGAAUUGAAGGCGAAGGGUUACAAAAAAAGGCUUGACGAAUUGCAAACUGCUCUUAUAAAGCAUAUGGAACAAAUUCAGAAAGACUUAGUGGACCCUGAAAAGCUUCAGGCGACCUUGACUGAUGAAACGAGGCUUGUGACCUAAAGAGGGCUCUUGAAAUGGUAGCAGUGCUGGAAGCCCAACUGAAGGAGAGGAAUCCUAAUCUUGAUUCUAUCUCAGAAUAUCGGACAAAGGUAUCAUUAUAUAAUGAGCAAGUUGAGGAACUAAAAUGGUCACUCAACAGCGCGAUGACGUAAAGAGACAGUAUGAUGAAUGGAGGAAGAAGAGGCAUGCAUAUCUAUCUUUAUUUUGUUGUCUGAUUUAUGUUCUUUUUAUCCUUCUACUCAAUUUUUUAGUUUUCACUCAACUGGAUAUGAUACAAUAACAGGUUGGAUGAGUUAAUGGUAGGAUUCAAUGCAAUAUCUUUGAAGCUGAAGGAGAUGUAACAGAUUUGUGAAUGGAUCACUCGAUUCACUCCCCACAAGUUUUAGCUGGAUUAUAAAUUCUAUUGUCCUUUCUGACUCUUUGGUGUCUUUAGUGUACAUUAAACAGUCUGAAUUGCAAGAAAUAUAACUAGUACCAUUUGUACCCUGGUGCUAGAUCUUAUGCCAUUGAAGAACUCCACUUUCGAUUAACAAAAUUCUUUUCUAUGCUCCUUCAUUUGCAAUCAGUGGGGGCUUUUCAUAUUUGAUGCUUCUUGUUUCAUCUUUCAUGCUUCUUUCCUUUUUUUCUUGUAUUAUAUGCGUUUACAAGUAAUGAUUGUACUUUUGCCCUUCUAAUGGACUUGCCAUAGAUGAUCACACUUGGAGGUGAUGCAGAACUUGAGCUAGUGGACUCUUUGGUUCCUUUCUGUGAAGGUGUUGUUUUCAGUGUCCGACCACCAAAGAAGAGCUGGUAGAAUAUGGCAAAUUUAUCGGGUGGUGAAAAGACCUUGAGUUCUUUAGCUCUUUUUUUCGCACUUCAUCACUACAAGCCAACCUCCCUUUAUGUAAUGGAUGAAAUUGAUGCUGUACUGGACUUCAAAAAUGCUUCUAUUGUGGGGCAUUAUGUGAAGGACCGAACAAAGGAUGCCCAGUUUAUAAUCAUAAGUCUUCGAAACAACGUGUUUGAAUUGGCUGAUUGACUUGUUGGGAUCUACAAAACUGAUAAUUGCACUAAGAGCAUUAUGAUGCAUUUGGUUUUGGUGGCGUUCCUUAGCUAAUGGUUCCAUGUCAUGAGUAAUUAUUUACCUGGUUGUCAUGGAAUCGAUUCUUUAUUCAGUUCUGUAUGAGUUUGCAUAUAUCAAAUAGUUAUCUAUUUUUGAA
This is a long non-coding RNA of Quercus robur (English oak), 2157 nucleotides long. RefSeq lists it as uncharacterized. The record is from RefSeq and is a predicted model, not a curated record. NCBI's taxonomy places the organism in Eukaryota, Viridiplantae, Streptophyta, Magnoliopsida, Fagales, Fagaceae. The transcript has 9 exons.